UGAGAACACGAACCCAGUGAAGCGGGUACGAGUCGAGUCAGUGAAGCAGAGACAUGGAGAAGAGUCCAGCAUCGUGUACCGCGUCUCUCUCGCAGUACCCACAGUCUCAGAAUUGACCGGUGUUCUAAGUGCAGUGUUCCAUUGACAGUAAGCAAUGAAUAUGGACCGAGUGAUCGCUAACUGAUGCUGACGCUAAUGAUGGUGGUGGUAACGCCUCUCCUUCCCUACUCCUCUCUGGCAGCGUGACGGAGCCAAGAAGCGUGACGGAGCGAAGAAGCGUGUGGUCAGAGACAGGAAGCGAGCGGGAACAAGAUGACAAAUGAGGCUUGAACAUCAAGUUUACAAGAUGUCAAGGUUAAGAAGACGUGAUGCUUGCCCUCAGCCAGCGCCACACAGGGCCAGGGGACUCCCUCAGCCCGAAAACAGAAGCAUCACUGCACUGUCACCUCCUCCAGAACCUUGCGGCAGUUUUCUUCGAGGUCCUGGGCCAGCGUCAUGAUGGCAGCCGGACUGGUGCUCUCUUGCAGCCGUUUCAUCUGCUGGCCAAGAAAUUCCCUGAGGGACGUAGUGUGCACUGGAUCACGCUGUGCCACAGCUUGCCUCCGUAGCACAUGUUCUGUCUCCAGUUCAUAUGGCUCAGGUGACCCCAUGCGUCCGCCAUUGAUGACCUGAUAGCAAAAAUCAUAUAUUUCUGGUUUUCUGUGGUAGGAAGUGCUUCUGAGCACAUGUAGGUUUGGUGAUGAGAGGGAUGACAGGGACACCAAUGAUGUCAAGGAGUGUUAGAAGACUUAGAGCAAAUGUAAAUCUAGUAUUGUGCUGGUUUAAUCAUGCAAAGCAUAUAGGAAAAGAAAUAAGCAAUAACAGGAUGACUAAAGGUGUUUUAAUAUGGUUGAAAAAUAGAAAUUGAGAUGGAUCAAGAGUAUUUAUUAUAUACUGUAAAGAGGGUGUUGGAUGCAAGAAUGAAUGGACAGGAACAAUUAUUGAAAAAGCGUUCUCUCUCUCUCUCUCUCUCUCUCUCUCUCUCUCUCUCUCUCUCUCUCUCUCUCUCUCUCUCUCUCUCUCUCUCUCUCUCUC
Molecule: long non-coding RNA, 1074 nt
Organism: Scylla paramamosain (green mud crab)
Lineage: Eukaryota; Metazoa; Arthropoda; Malacostraca; Decapoda; Portunidae
Exons: 5
Source: RefSeq, a predicted model, not a curated record